Molecule: ribosomal RNA, 907 nt
Filed under: Septoria lactucae
Lineage: Eukaryota; Fungi; Ascomycota; Dothideomycetes; Mycosphaerellales; Mycosphaerellaceae
Description: partial large subunit ribosomal RNA
Rfam family: Eukaryotic large subunit ribosomal RNA
Source: RNAcentral
GCUGAACUUAAGCAUAUCAAUAAGCGGAGGAAAAGAAACCAACAGGGAUUGCCCUAGUAACGGCGAGUGAAGCGGCAACAGCUCAAAUUUGAAAUCUGGCGCAAGCCCGAGUUGUAAUUUGUAGAGGAUGCUUCUGGGUAGCGACCGAUCUAAGUUCCUUGGAACAGGACGUCAUAGAGGGUGAGAAUCCCGUAUGUGACCGGCCCGCGCCCUUUACGUAGCUCCUUCGACGAGUCGAGUUGUUUGGGAAUGCAGCUCUAAAUGGGAGGUAAAUUUCUUCUAAAGCUAAAUACCGGCCAGAGACCGAUAGCGCACAAGUAGAGUGAUCGAAAGAUGAAAAGUACUUUGGAAAGAGAGUUAAAAAGCACGUGAAAUUGUUGAAAGGGAAGCGCCUGCAACCAGACUUCGCGGCAGUGUUCCGCCGGUCUUCUGACCGGUUCAUUCUCUGUCGCGAGGCCAUCAUCGUCUCGGCCCGCCGGAUAAGACCUGAGGAAUGUAGCUCCCCUUCGGGGGAGUGUUAUAGCCUUGGGUGAUGCGGCGCGGCCGGGGCGAGGUCCGCGCUUCGGCAAGGAUGAUGGCGUAAUGGUUGUCGGCGGCCCGUCUUGAAACACGGACCAAGGAGUCUAACAUCUAUGCGAGUGUUCGGGUGUCAAACCCCUACGCGUAAUGAAAGUGAACGGAGGUGGGAACCGCAAGGUGCACCAUCGACCGAUCCUGAUGUCCUCGGAUGGAUUUGAGUAAGAGCAUAGCUGUUGGGACCCGAAAGAUGGUGAACUAUGCCUGAAUAGGGUGAAGCCAGAGGAAACUCUGGUGGAGGCUCGCAGCGGUUCUGACGUGCAAAUCGAUCGUCAAAUUUGGGUAUAGGGGCGAAAGACUAAUCGAACCAUCUAGUAGCUGGUUCCUGCGA